GAUGAACGCUAGCUACAGGCUUAACACAUGCAAGUCGAGGGGUAACGAGAGGAAAGCUUGCUUUCCUUGUCGACGACCGGCGCACGGGUGAGUAACGCGUAUCCAACCUGCCCCCAACUAGGGAAUAACCUUGCGAAAGUAAGACUAAUACCCUAUAAUUUCCUCAGAUGUCAUCUGACGAGGAAUAAAGAUUUAUCGGUUGUGGAUGGGGAUGCGUCUGAUUAGCUUGUUGGCGGGGUAACGGCCCACCAAGGCAACGAUCAGUAGGGGUUUUGAGAGGAAGGUCCCCCACAGUGGAACUAAGACACGGUCCAAACUCCUACGGGAGGCAGCAGUGAGGAAUAUUGGUCAAUGGGCGGAAGCCUGAACCAGCCAAGUAGCGUGCAGGAUGACGGCCCUAUGGGUUGUAAACUGCUUUUAUACAGGAAUAAAGUUAGCCACGUGUGGUUAUUUGUAGGUACUGUAUGAAUAAGGACCGGCUAAUUCCGUGCCAGCCGCCGCCGUAA
Molecule: ribosomal RNA, 506 nt
Filed under: uncultured bacterium
Lineage: Bacteria
Description: partial 16S ribosomal RNA
Rfam family: Bacterial small subunit ribosomal RNA
Source: RNAcentral